UUUUUUUUUUUUUUUUUUUUUUUUUUUUUUUUUUUUUUUUUUUUUUAAUGUAAAGAUUUCUGGGCCCACCCCACCGAGGUAAUCAGAAGAAGGACCUGGGAAUCUGGGGGUCACCCUGUGUCUUUAAUUACUGCUCAGCUGGUUUGUUACUGACUCUGUGACCUUGAUUGUGUUACUUAAUCUGUUUGAGCCUCAGGUUUUAUCUGUGAAGUGGGGAUAAUAUCCAAAUCAUAGAUUUAUUGACAAACUUCUACAUGACUAAACUUGUUCAGCACAUGACUAGUGCUCAAUACUUGGAAGGUAUAUUGCCCACAAAUGUGUGAUCUGUACACUCAAGCUGACUGAUGUGUUUUCUUAUAAGGACCUGUCCCUACCCCCAACGUUUUGGUGAAGCAGCCGGACUGUCAUGGGAUAUGUAUGUGUAUGCACAUUUUAGCUCAUGCAUAGUUGUCACCUUUAUAUGAUUUCCCCUCCUCCGCCUUUUAGGCCAUAAAAUAGAUUAGAAUUGGCACAUUUGGAAGCUAGGCCCUGUGCUCUUGGACCUAGAACUGUCCAUCAGGCCUACUGGCAAAGCGGGGCAUUUACCAAUCUGAAGUCUGCUUCAUCCUCCACCCCACCCCCACCUUUUUUGGCUCUUUCACCUUCCUUGCUUUAUAGAUGGCAAACAUUUCCUAAAGAAACCGCUGGUCAGACCAAUGAAGCCACAGGACAAAAAGUUAUCUUCGAAAGGGAACGACAAGAAGGAAGAAAAAGUCAGCAUUCCUAGAGAGAACCAUUCUCUGCUUUCAAUAGGACAGAAGAGCUCCUUGGCACUGGAUGCCUCCGGGUCUGGUUGAGAGAGGAAUUGGUUAGGAGACUGUUCUGAGGAUACGCAGACAUCAUCCAAAGCUUCCUACAUUCAGAUGAGGACAGAGGUUGGGCCAGAGCAUGGCAUGCUUGUUACCUAAGGACGGUUUUGACCAUGUGAGCAAAUCACAGAAGGGUCCCAUGGGAACAGAAAAUUUUGAGGGAGUUUACUGUUUGUGCAAGAUGACUGGUUGGGUAAAGAAGUCCAAAGUUUUUUAUCUGCAGAACAAAUAAAGCCUGGGCAAAGGUAACUGAAAUGAACGUCUCCCACCUUGUCCCUCUUGCAUGUCUAAGGUGAUGUUUGUGCCGAUGGUUGCACAAUGGAGAACCUAAUCUAUG
Molecule: long non-coding RNA, 1185 nt
Filed under: Rhinopithecus bieti (black snub-nosed monkey)
Lineage: Eukaryota; Metazoa; Chordata; Mammalia; Primates; Cercopithecidae
Description: lncRNA (ENSRBIG00000045352.1)
Source: RNAcentral